AAUUGAAGGAAAAACAAAAACAUUUUUAAUUAGGGCUAACUUGUCCCAGAGUGCCCAUGCUCACCAAAAUGCCAGCAGCCGUCCCGAGCUACGGCCACCCCCAUGUGCAGCCCCAGCGCUGGGGCCAGGCACGCGCCCACUGGGUCAGGGCAAAUGCAGCUGCCUGCAGAGCUGAGGCAGAAAGGCCUUACAGAAGCAACCAUUAUCCUAUAUACCGCUCAUUAACGAGUCAAGUAUUUUAAAUUAAUGCUUUGCCAGCUCAUUUGUUUUCAUGCGGGAAGAAAAUCUUCCAGGGCUGUAUUCACAUAAAUCACUUCUUUUGACAGGCUCCUGACACUACAGGGCUGAUGGUGGUGGGGAAGAAUCCCCUUCGGCUGCAGCAAGCUCUGGUCAGGGUUUGGGUUUUAUUUUUAGGUGCUCCAAGAUUAAAAAUCAGAGCCUAUCCAUCAUAAUAAGACUUUGUUCUGAGAGUACCUGCUGUGGACACAUCAGCGGCAGCAGCCGAGAUAAUAGUUGAGCAGGUGGUAAUUAUCAUGAUUAACUGCUGCUGCGUACCUUCAAAUUUCAGGCAAUUGCUGUGCUUUAGCACCCACCUUUAUUGGGGCUUCCCUGGGCUUUCAGUGUGAGCCUGUCUGCUUUAUGGGAUUUCGCAGGCUGUAAACUCUCUCUGGGCACUGGACUCUAUUAUUUGCAUAUAGCUGCUAAAUAAUGCCAGCAACAACAGUUAGGGAAAUUUGGCAUUUUCCAAGCUGUACCUGCAGUCGCAUUUUCCAGCAUUUCAGCCACUUGUUGCACAAUCAGAGAGAAAAUGAACCACAAGCGCUGAUCUUUCUCUCUCUUAACCUCAGGGCUCCCAGCUUCGCUCCUCCCUGCUUCUAAAUCACAGCUUAUUGCUAUUUUUACAAGAGAAGAUUAAUGGACUUAAAUGGGCACAGAUAUCUGAGUAUCUCACACGCUCGCAGACAAGUAUUUUGAUUGUUCAGCCCUGGUUUUACAUUUAAUAGCCCCGCUACCUUCUCCCAACAGCGCCCGCGCUCUGCUCCCACAUGUGGAACAGUUUACAUUGCCCUUUUGCACAGCGGUGGAAGAGAGUUGGGCUCAGAUUUUGCUGUGAGCAGCAGCUCAUCAGCUCUUUCUGAAGCCCAUCAGGAGCCCAUUCUCUCUAACACAGCUAUCUUACAACAGGAGACACCGAAAAAGGACGGGGAUUUGGCAGCGCUGCCUGAAAGUAGGAUUUUCACCUAUUCUGCAGUUAUUCUGCAGCCCCGUGGCACCAAACAUUCAUUAGCAACCAGUGCAAUUUUGGAGCAAGUUGUAUUUACACGUAGGGACAAGGACUCAUAAUCGUUGUCAUCUACAUAGUGUUGUUUUACAUAACAGCUGCAGUAGAGCAAGUGCACUUUGGUCAAUAGUUUCAUUUAUAAUAAAGUAAUAAAUUAGGAAUAUUUUUCCCUUGACAAUAAGUUUUAUGCCAAGAUUUUAUGUAGCUUAAAGCAAGUUGUCAAUUAGGCUACUUAAAUUAAUUUUUGGCAGCAGUUAAUUGGAGCCUAGAGUCUUUUGUCUUUAAACAGCUAAUCCUAAACAAGAAAAUACAAUGAUUAAAUGUUUCUUAAACAAUAUUA
Long non-coding RNA from Oxyura jamaicensis (ruddy duck), 1622 nucleotides. RefSeq lists it as uncharacterized. The transcript is spliced from 2 exons. The record is from RefSeq and is a predicted model, not a curated record. Lineage: Eukaryota; Metazoa; Chordata; Aves; Anseriformes; Anatidae.